Molecule: long non-coding RNA, 359 nt
Filed under: Mytilus galloprovincialis (Mediterranean mussel)
Lineage: Eukaryota; Metazoa; Mollusca; Bivalvia; Mytilida; Mytilidae
Source: RNAcentral
CAAAGAUUUACUAAGACCUCAAAAUGUCAGAAUCCCUAUUUUUAAAAAUGUUGUUAUUUUAUUUAGGUAGUACUGUUUUUGCUUGUAUCAUUUUGUUUUACUGUGUAUUGUUUUAUGGAUGUGAAUGUUCAGUUACUCUAAUUUUGUUAUUGUAAUGUAUCAAAUACAGCAUAUUUUAUUUCGCACCACGUUUGUGGCGAGGUAUGUUCGACCCCAAUCGUAAUUGACAAUGAUUACCAGUAUUCCUACCGAAGGUCGGUUGUCCUCUUCGGGUAUAUACUUUGAUUUGCUCCACUUAUAAUAUUUGGUCAUGAUAUAGACUAGGUGGUUGAAAGUGGCGCCUAAGAAUGGAACACCAC